AUAACGCUAGGUUAUCUCCAGCAGUUGACACAUCAGAUUUUAAAAUGCAUAUGAGACUGCCAUGUCAUUAAAUGAAAAAACUGUGAAAACCAUUUAGAACAUUUUAUCUCUCCACGUAGAUUUUGUCUUCUUUGUUUGUAUCACCACUUUCAUCUAUCGAAGAUUUGUGAUCGGAAAUCAACACAAUCAUAUUAGUUCUUCGCUUUCUUUCUUCCUCUUUCGAUUGAUGAUCAGUCCCACCCCUAUUCGUCUGUCUCUUUGUCAAGUUUUGGUAACGGUUCCGCUUUCUUCCUCUUUCUUCCUCUUUCGAUUGAUGAUCUAGCCCUAGCCCAGUUUCUUCUUCGUCUGUCUCUUUGUCAAGUUUUGGUAACGGUUCCGCAACAAAGCUGAGAUUGGAAACAUUUGAGCAGACGGGAUGUGAUCUAGCGGUGUUUGCGGAUGGUUCAGAAAAUCGCACAGAUGGACACCAUGAACGGCCUUGACGUUUGGUUCAUGGACGCUAAUCCGGAUGCGCUCUCUCAAGCCACCACAGCUAUCUCCUCCUCCAUCAAUCGUUUUGUCUCCAAAGGUCCAAUCAUCAAGUCAAGAUUCGAUCAGUAAUCCUUAAAAGAAUCUACUUUCCUCCUGGAAAUCUAUAUUUACAAACAUGAGAAAGUUAUCAGGUCUUGGACUCUCCUGGAUCACUAGGAUACUCGCUUGAUAAAUUGACUUCUGUUACUGAGUUUGAUUUAAGCAACAAGAACCUUGGAGGGGACUUGUCGUAUCAGCUUCCUCCAAAUGUUGAGAUUGAAUCUUGCUAAUAACCAGUUCACUGGAUCUGCUCCAUACUCCAUUUCUCAAAUGACACCCCCCCCCCCCCCCAAAUACUUUUAGAAAUACGGGACAAGAAGAAGACAAUUUACAGCCAUAUAAACAAGAGGUCAUAAACAGAGCAAUUACCAGUUGGCCUAGAAGCAAAUAUUUUAUGGAAUUAAGAAAAAGAGCAAUCACCGGUGGCCCAUACAGGACAAGAAAAAGACAGUUUACAGCCAUAGAAACAAUCGAUCAUAAAAGAGAUUUGUAUAGAAACUAACUCAUCAUCCUUUUUGUUAAACUUUUUUUUCAAAUGCUUAAAACCUGCUAAAUCAUCAAGAGGUCUCCCACAGAGAAGGAAUUGAAAGAGUAUUGGCUCAUUUGUUUUCUGUCAAAAUUCAUCAGAUCGAAGUGUGUAUAUACACUGAUUAUGUUACCGAAAGUGUGUGCAAAUCCAUUGUCAUAACAUUUUUCCUAUGAUUUUUUUUUCA
Raphanus sativus (radish) is the source of this 1283-nucleotide long non-coding RNA. RefSeq lists it as uncharacterized. The transcript is spliced from 5 exons. The record is from RefSeq and is a predicted model, not a curated record. NCBI's taxonomy places the organism in Eukaryota, Viridiplantae, Streptophyta, Magnoliopsida, Brassicales, Brassicaceae.